CAGCCGCCGCGGUAAUACCGGCGGCCCGAGUGGCGGUCACUAUUAUUGGGCUUAAAGCGUCCGUAGCCGGGUUGGGAAGUCCUCCGGGAAAUCUGGCCGCUUAACGGUCAGAAUGCCGGAGGAUACUCCCAGCCUAGGGAGCGGGAGAGGCCGAGGGGAUUCCCGGGGUAGGGGGGGAAUCCUAUAAUCCCGGGAGGACCACCUGUGGCGCAGGCGCUCGGCUGGAACGCGUCCGACGGUGAGGGACGAAGGCCAGGGGAGCAAACCGGAUUAGAUACCCGGGUAGUCCUGGCGGUAAACGAUGCGGACUUUGUGUCGGACAAGCUAUGAGCUUGUCCGGUGCCGGAGGGAAACCGUUAAGUCCGCCGCCUGGGGAGUACGGCCGCAAGGCUGAAACUUAAAGGAAUUGGCGGG
This 414-nucleotide ribosomal RNA is filed under the name uncultured microorganism. RNAcentral describes it as "bacterial SSU rRNA". It matches the Rfam family "Archaeal small subunit ribosomal RNA", at positions 459 to 872 of the family's 1478-position model. The record is from RNAcentral.